GUGGGGAAUCUUCCGCAAUGGACGAAAGUCUGACGGAGCAACGCCGCGUGAGUGAUGACGGCCUUCGGGUUGUAAAGCUCUGUGAUCGGGGACGAAUGGCUGGUAUGCUAAUACCAUAUCAGAGUGACGGUACCCGAAUAGCAAGCCACGGCUAACUACGUGCCAGCAGCCGCGGUAAUACGUAGGUGGCAAGCGUUGUCCGGAAUUAUUGGGCGUAAAGCGCGCGCAGGCGGCUUCUUAAGUCCAUCUUAAAAGUGCGGGGCUUAACCCCGUGAUGGGAUGGAAACUGGGAGGCUGGAGUAUCGGAGAGGAAAGUGGAAUUCCUAGUGUAGCGGUGAAAUGCGUAGAGAUUAGGAAGAACACCAGUGGCGAAGGCGACUUUCUGGACGACAACUGACGCUGAGGCGCGAAAGCGUGGGGAGCAAACAGGAUUAGAAACCCCAGUAGUCC
Molecule: ribosomal RNA, 450 nt
Filed under: uncultured bacterium
Lineage: Bacteria
Description: partial 16S ribosomal RNA
Rfam family: Bacterial small subunit ribosomal RNA
Source: RNAcentral